RNAcentral lists this ribosomal RNA (498 nucleotides) under uncultured bacterium. Its description in RNAcentral is "partial 16S ribosomal RNA". It matches the Rfam family "Bacterial small subunit ribosomal RNA", at positions 28 to 523 of the family's 1533-position model. The record is from RNAcentral.
GAUGAACGCUAGCGGCAGGCCUAAUACAUGCAAGUCGAGGGAGAAUGUUGGAUUCGUCUGACAUGAAACCGGCGCACGGGUGCGUAACACGUAUGCAACCUACCUUUAACUGGGGUAUAGCUCAGAGAAAUCUGAAUUAAUCCCCCAUAAGACUACGACAUGGCAUCAUGAUGUAGUUAAAGCUCCGGCGGUUAAGGAUGGGCAUGCGGUACAUUAGCUAGUUGGUGAGGUAAUGGCUCACCAAGGCUACGAUGUAUAGGGGGUCUGAGAGGAUGAUCCCCCACACUGGUACUGAGACACGGACCAGACUCCUACGGGAGGCAGCAGUAGGGAAUAUUGGUCAAUGGACGCAAGUCUGAACCAGCCAUGCCGCGUGAAGGAUGAAGGCCCUAUGGGUCGUAAACUUCUUUUAUUAGGGAAGAAAAAACGGGAUGCGUCCUGUACUGACGGUACUUAAUGAAUAAGGAUCGGCUAACUUCGUGCCAGCCGCCGCCGUAA